GCCAGGUGCAGUGGCGCGUGCCUAUAGUCCCAGCUACUCUGGAGGCUGAGAUGGGAGGAUCGCUUGAGCCCAGGAGUUCUGGGUUGUAGUGCGCUAUGCUGAUCGGGUGUCGGCGCUAAGUUUGGCAUCAAUAUGGUGACCUCUCGGGAGCAGGGGACCACCAGGUUGCCUAAGGAGGGGUGAACUGCCCUAGGUCUGGCCCAGGUCAGAAACGGAGCAGGUCAAAACCCCCGUGCUGAUCAGUAGUGAGAUCGCACCUGUGAAUAGCCAGCCUGGGCAACAUAGCGAAACCCCGUCUCU
Molecule: signal recognition particle RNA, 300 nt
Filed under: Cebus imitator (Panamanian white-faced capuchin)
Lineage: Eukaryota; Metazoa; Chordata; Mammalia; Primates; Cebidae
Description: Metazoan signal recognition particle RNA (ENSCCAG00000014795.1)
Rfam family: Metazoan signal recognition particle RNA
About the family: The signal recognition particle (SRP) is a universally conserved ribonucleoprotein.
Source: RNAcentral